Molecule: ribozyme, 73 nt
Filed under: Anopheles sinensis
Lineage: Eukaryota; Metazoa; Arthropoda; Insecta; Diptera; Culicidae
Description: drz-agam-2-2 ribozyme
Rfam family: drz-agam-2-2 ribozyme
Source: Rfam by way of RNAcentral
UAUGUUGGUGGGUCUGUGAAUGGGGUAGGAUCCGACGCCUCCUGAAGGCUACAUAGGCUCUCCUACCCAACUC